Lycium barbarum (goji berry) is the source of this 1799-nucleotide RNA transcript. It is a transcript of the gene named E3 ubiquitin-protein ligase SIS3-like, with no coding region annotated. The transcript is spliced from 11 exons. The record is from RefSeq and is a predicted model, not a curated record. Lineage: Eukaryota; Viridiplantae; Streptophyta; Magnoliopsida; Solanales; Solanaceae.
GCAUAAUUUGGUUGACAUCAGACAGUCUUCUCCAGUCUAUUCACAAUUCUCUUCUUACUUUCCCUUUUCCCCGACAGACAGCCUUCAAAUCUGUACAGAAUUCUCCUUUCAAUAGCUGCGUACACGACACGUACUCAUCGAUGUUGGGAGUGUAACAGAAUCGGCGUGUAAAAUAUUCGCAAAUUUUCUCAAUUUGGUUGCUCCGAUUUCAAAUAUUUGCGUUGUGAAAUGAAAGGCGCAGAUUUUAAAUGGUAUGACGGGUUCUUCCUGUCAAUGUUAGCAACUAGUAUAAUCAUUGUGGCGAUAAAUUGGAAGCGGUACCAUCUUUGUAUAUACCCCUUGCACAUUUGGAUUGUGGUUGACUAUACAACGGUGUUUCUUUUUCGGUUACUAAUGUUUGUUGACAAUGGACUUGCUGCUGGAAUGGGAUUGGAUUUAGGUUGGCAGCAGAGAUAUACUCGCUUUCGUGGAAGAAUAGUUGUUCUUUCAAUUCUUGCCCUGUUUCUGUAUCCCUUUCUUUGGGCUUGGACGAUUAUUGGGACUUUAUGGUUCACUAGUGCGAGAAACUGUUUGCCAGAAGAAGGUCAAAAGUGGGGUUUCCUUAUUUGGUUGCUCUUCAGCUACUGUGGACUCGUUGGCAUAGCUUGCAUAUCAAUUGGGAAGUGGUUAACUAGAAGACAAGCCCAUUCAUUACGUGCUCAACAGGGAAUUCCUACUUCAGAAUUUGGGGUGUUGGUUGACAUGAUCAGAGUACCAGAUUGGACUUUUGCAGCAGCAGGACAGGAGAUGAGAGCGAUGGGACCUGAUGCUACUUCAUAUCACCCAGGACUUUACUUAACCCAAGCUCAGACAGAAGCAGUGGAAGCUCUCAUUCAGGAACUACCAAAGUUCAGGCUGAAGGCUGUUCCUACUGACUGUAGUGAGUGCCCUAUCUGUUUGGAAGAGUUUCGCAUGGGAAACGAGGUUCGUGGUCUGCCUUGUGCUCACAACUUCCACGUUGAAUGCAUUGAUGAGUGGCUUCGGUUAAAUGUGAAAUGCCCUAGAUGCCGUUCUUCUGUUUUUCCAAAUCUUGAUCUCAGUGCUUUAUCCAAUAUCCGAGCAGAGGGUUCAACAGCCAAUGUCCUGACAGCAGCUCGGUAUGUGAGAUCCCAACCCUCCAGUCAGAGCUACCUGCUGAGAUUGCAAGGUUUGCUCCGCCCAGUGCGCACACAGGAUGCUGGCCUGGGCAGUGAGAUAGAUCUAGCUUCAGGAACAGCUAAUAGCAGCAACCAAGUAUUGGCACCUCAUAGUCAUGGAAAUGUGGAGCCUGUGCAAGUUGUGGUGGAACAGCCCCCAAGGGAGCAAUAACAAUAUAUCGGCCGAGGUUCCUUACCGGUUGAGAUGUCUAACUUGGUGAUUCCUGAGAACUUUCUGGCCAUUGUUGAUUAGUGUUCGUAUAGUGGUUUUUCAUUGCAAUCGAAAUUCAUAGAUUAAAAAGCUAAUAUGCAUCUGAUGGAAGGAAAUGUGGUGUCAAUGAUUUAUCUUCAUGGCCAGCUUGUUCUGGUGUGGGUUAGUUUAACUUUGGCAUUAAUCUUUGGAACUCUCUUAAGAACGCUGUGAAAUGAACCUUCAAAACUGAGUUUCCAUCAGUAAAAAGUAACACAAUCUGCCGUUCAGAAUCCAAUACGUCGAAGUCUGGUUGCUACUUGUUAGUUGUUACUAAGUACUACUUUAUGUGUCAUACGAAAAACAGCUCUCUGCGUGUUGAUAAUCAAGUGUAACAGCUAUGCUAUAAGAAUAUUUGUUGUCUAUUUUUAAAA